Molecule: ribosomal RNA, 3010 nt
Filed under: Salmonella enterica subsp. enterica serovar Typhimurium
Lineage: Bacteria; Pseudomonadati; Pseudomonadota; Gammaproteobacteria; Enterobacterales; Enterobacteriaceae
Description: 23S ribosomal RNA
Rfam family: Bacterial large subunit ribosomal RNA
Source: RNAcentral
GGGUUGUGAGGUUAAGCGACUAAGCGUACACGGUGGAUGCCCUGGCAGUCAGAGGCGAUGAAGGGCGUGCUAAUCUGCGAUAAGCGCCGGUAAGGUGAUAUGAACCGUUAUAACCGGCGAUACCCGAAUGGGGAAACCCAGUGUGAUUCGUCACACUAUCAUUAACUGAAUCCAUAGGUUAAUGAGGCGAACCGGGGGAACUGAAACAUCUAAGUACCCCGAGGAAAAGAAAUCAACCGAGAUUCCCCCAGUAGCGGCGAGCGAACGGGGAGGAGCCCAGAGCCUGAAUCAGCAUGUGUGUUAGUGGAAGCGUCUGGAAAGGCGCGCGAUACAGGGUGACAGCCCCGUACACAAAAGCGCAUGUGCUGUGAGCUCGAUGAGUAGGGCGGGACACGUGGUAUCCUGUCUGAAUAUGGGGGGACCAUCCUCCAAGGCUAAAUACUCCUGACUGACCGAUAGUGAACCAGUACCGUGAGGGAAAGGCGAAAAGAACCCCGGCGAGGGGAGUGAAAAAGAGCCUGAAACCGUGUACGUACAAGCAGUGGGAGCACCCUUCGGGGUGUGACUGCGUACCUUUUGUAUAAUGGGUCAGCGACUUAUAUUCUGUAGCAAGGUUAACCGUAUAGGGGAGCCGGAGGGAAACCGAGUCUUAACCGGGCGUUAAGUUGCAGGGUAUAGACCCGAAACCCGGUGAUCUAGCCAUGGGCAGGUUGAAGGUUGGGUAACACUAACUGGAGGACCGAACCGACUAAUGUUGAAAAAUUAGCGGAUGACCUGUGGCUGGGGGUGAAAGGCCAAUCAAACCGGGAGAUAGCUGGUUCUCCCCGAAAGCUAUUUAGGUAGCGCCUCGUGAAUUCAUCUCCGGGGGUAGAGCACUGUUUCGGCUAGGGGGCCAUCCCGGCUUACCAACCCGAUGCAAACUGCGAAUACCGGAGAAUGUUAUCACGGGAGACACACGGCGGGUGCUAACGUCCGUCGUGAAGAGGGAAACAACCCAGACCGCCAGCUAAGGUCCCAAAGUCAUGGUUAAGUGGGAAACGAUGUGGGAAGGCCCAGACAGCCGGGAUGUUGGCUUAGAAGCAGCCAUCAUUUAAAGAAAGCGUAAUAGCUCACUGGUCGAGUCGGCCUGCGCGGAAGAUGUAACGGGGCUAAACCAUGCACCGAAGCUGCGGCAGCGAACGUAUCACCCAAGACAACUUUACGGAGUUGACGAUUGACGGAGCGAAGCGACGUCAAAGCGUUCAUUAAAGUCGAGUUGGCUUAGGGAUACGUUCGUUGGGUAGGGGAGCGUUCUGUAAGCCUGUGAAGGUGUGUCGUGAGGCAUGCUGGAGGUAUCAGAAGUGCGAAUGCUGACAUAAGUAACGAUAAAGCGGGUGAAAAGCCCGCUCGCCGGAAGACCAAGGGUUCCUGUCCAACGUUAAUCGGGGCAGGGUGAGUCGACCCCUAAGGCGAGGCCGAAAGGCGUAGUCGAUGGGAAACGGGUUAAUAUUCCCGUACUUGGUGUUACUGCGAAGGGGGGACGGAGAAGGCUAUGUUGGCCGGGCGACGGUUGUCCCGGUUUAAGCGUGUAGGUGUGUGUUCCGUGUAAAUCCGGUUCACUUUAACACUGAGGCGUGACGACGAGGCACUACGGUGCUGAAGCAACAAAUGCCCUGCUUCCGGGAAAGCCUCUAAGCAUCAGGUAACAUCAAAUCGUACCCCAAACCGACACAGGUGGUCAGGUAGAGAAUACCAAGGCGCUUGAGAGAACUCGGGUGAAGGAACUAGGCAAAAUGGUGCCGUAACUUCGGGAGAAGGCACGCUGACACGUAGGUGAAGUGAUUUACUCAUGGAGCUGAAGUCAGUCGAAGAUACCAGCUGGCUGCAACUGUUUAUUAAAAACACAGCACUGUGCAAACACGAAAGUGGACGUAUACGGUGUGACGCCUGCCCGGUGCCGGAAGGUUAAUUGAUGGGGUCAGCGCAAGCGAAGCUCCUGAUCGAAGCCCCGGUAAACGGCGGCCGUAACUAUAACGGUCCUAAGGUAGCGAAAUUCCUUGUCGGGUAAGUUCCGACCUGCACGAAUGGCGUAAUGAUGGCCGGGCUGUCUCCACCCGAGACUCAGUGAAAUUGAACUCGCUGUGAAGAUGCAGUGUACCCGCGGCAAGACGGAAAGACCCCGUGAACCUUUACUAUAGCUUGACACUGAACAUUGAGCCUUGAUGUGUAGGAUAGGUGGGAGGCUUUGAAGUGUGGACGCCAGUCUGCAUGGAGCCGACCUUGAAAUACCACCCUUUAAUGUUUGAUGUUCUAACGUGGACCCGUAAUCCGGGUUGCGGACAGUGUCUGGUGGGUAGUUUGACUGGGGCGGUCUCCUCCUAAAGAGUAACGGAGGAGCACGAAGGUUGGCUAAUCCUGGUCGGACAUCAGGAGGUUAGUGCAAUGGCAUAAGCCAGCUUGACUGCGAGCGUGACGGCGCGAGCAGGUGCGAAAGCAGGUCAUAGUGAUCCGGUGGUUCUGAAUGGAAGGGCCAUCGCUCAACGGAUAAAAGGUACUCCGGGGAUAACAGGCUGAUACCGCCCAAGAGUUCAUAUCGACGGCGGUGUUUGGCACCUCGAUGUCGGCUCAUCACAUCCUGGGGCUGAAGUAGGUCCCAAGGGUAUGGCUGUUCGCCAUUUAAAGUGGUACGCGAGCUGGGUUUAGAACGUCGUGAGACAGUUCGGUCCCUAUCUGCCGUGGGCGCUGGAGAACUGAGGGGGGCUGCUCCUAGUACGAGAGGACCGGAGUGGACGCAUCACUGGUGUUCGGGUUGUCAUGCCAAUGGCACUGCCCGGUAGCUAAAUGCGGAAGAGAUAAGUGCUGAAAGCAUCUAAGCACGAAACUUGCCCCGAGAUGAGUUCUCCCUGAGACUUAGAGUCUCCUGAAGGAACGUUGAAGACGACGACGUUGAUAGGCCGGGUGUGUAAGCGCAGCGAUGCGUUGAGCUAACCGGUACUAAUGAACCGUGAGGCUUAACCUUACAACGCCGAAG